GGACCCGCACAAGUAGUGGAGCAUGUGGUUUAAUUCGAAGAUACGCGCAGAACCUUACCAACACUUGACAUGUUCGUCGCGACUUUAAGAGAUUAAAGUUUUCGGUUCGGCCGGACGAAACACAGGUGCUGCAUGGCUGUCGUCAGCUCGUGUCGUGAGAUGUUGGGUUAAGUCCCGCAACGAGCGCAACCCUCACUUUUAGUUGCCAUCAUUUAGUUGGGCACUCUGAAAGAACUGCCAGUGAUAAGCUGGAGGAAGGUGGGGAUGACGUCAAGUCCUCAUGGCCCUUACGUGUUGGGCUACACACGUGCUACAAUGGUACUUACAACAGGAAGCAAGACUGCGAAGUUAAGCAAAUCCUUAAAAGAUACCUCAGUUCGGAUUGCACUCUGCAACUCGAGUGCAUGAAGCUGGAAUUACUAGUAAUCG
RNAcentral lists this ribosomal RNA (429 nucleotides) under uncultured bacterium. RNAcentral describes it as "bacterial SSU rRNA". It matches the Rfam family "Bacterial small subunit ribosomal RNA", at positions 917 to 1344 of the family's 1533-position model. The record is from RNAcentral.